CCUACGGGAGGCAGCAGUGAGGAAUAUUGGUCAAUGGGCGCGAGCCUGAACCAGCCAAGUAGCGUGAAGGAUGACUGCCCUACGGGUUGUAAACUUCUUUUAUAAAGGAAUAAAGUGAGGCACGUGUGCCUUUAUGUAUGUACUUUAUGAAUAAGGAUCGGCUAACUCCGUGCCAGCAGCCGCGGUAAUACGGAGGAUCCGAGCGUUAUCCGGAUUUAUUGGGUUUAAAGGGAGCGUAGAUGGGUUGUUAAGUUAGUUGUGAAAGUUUGCGGCUCAACCGUAGAAGUGCAAUUGAUACUGGCAGCCUUGAGUACAGAUGAGGUAGGCGGAAUUCGUGGUGUAGCGGUGAAAUGCUUAGAUAUCACGAAGAACUCCGAUUGCGAAGGCAGCCUACUGGACUGCCACUGACGUUGAUGCUCGAAAGUGUGGGUAUCAAACAGGAUUAGAUACCCGUGUAGUC
RNAcentral lists this ribosomal RNA (460 nucleotides) under uncultured bacterium. RNAcentral's name for it is "partial 16S ribosomal RNA". It matches the Rfam family "Bacterial small subunit ribosomal RNA", at positions 338 to 795 of the family's 1533-position model. The record is from RNAcentral.